Molecule: small nuclear RNA, 106 nt
Organism: Leopardus geoffroyi (Geoffroy's cat)
Lineage: Eukaryota; Metazoa; Chordata; Mammalia; Carnivora; Felidae
Source: RefSeq, a predicted model, not a curated record
GUGCUUAUUUCAGCAGCAUAUAUACUAAAAUUGGAACAAUACAGGAGAUUAGCAUGACCCCUACAAGAGUGAUGACACAAUGUGAAAUUAGAAAUCAACUACAAGA